This 346-nucleotide ribosomal RNA is filed under the name uncultured bacterium. Its description in RNAcentral is "bacterial SSU rRNA". It matches the Rfam family "Bacterial small subunit ribosomal RNA", at positions 28 to 372 of the family's 1533-position model. The record is from RNAcentral.
GACGAACGCUGGCGGCGUGCUUAAUACAUGCAAGUCAACUUGACUUUAGAUAGCAAUAUCGAAAAGUAGGGUGGCGCACGGGUGCGUAACGCGUAGGUAAUCUGCCCUGAGGUCUGACAUAACCCGUCGAAAGGCGGGCUAACAUCAGAUGAUAUAUAGUCACGACAUCGUGGAAAAUAUCAAAUCUUCGGAGCCUUGGGAUGAGCCUGCGUCUGAUUAGGUAGUUGGCGGAGUAAUAGCCCACAAGCCUACGAUCAGUAGCUGGUCUGAGAGGAUGAUCAGCCACACUGGAACUGAGACACGGUCCAGACUCCUACGGGAGGCAGCAGUAAGGAUAUUGCUCAAU